CCUACGUGGCGCUGCAGUAGGGAAUAUUACUCAAUGGGGGAAACCCUGAAGCAGCCACGCCUCGUGGAGGAUGAAGGUUUUCGGAUUGUACACUCCUUUUGUUAGAGAAGAUACUGACGGUAUCUAACGAAUAAGCACCGGCUAACUCCGUGCCAGCAGCCGCGGUAAUACGGAGGGUGCAAGCGUUACUAGGAAUCACUGGGCGUAAAGAGCGCGUAGGCGGGAUAGCAAGUCAGAUGUGAAAUCCUAUGGCUUAACCAUAGAACUGCAUUUGAAACUGUUAUUCUAGAGUAUGGGAGAGGGAGGUGGAAUUCUUGGUGUAGGGGUAAAAUCCGUAGAGAUCAAGAGGAAUACUCAUGGCGAAGGCGACCUGCUAGAACAUAACUGACGCUGAUGCGCGAAAGCGUGGGGAGCAAACAGGAUUAGAUACCCGUGUAGUC
This 440-nucleotide ribosomal RNA is filed under the name uncultured bacterium. RNAcentral's name for it is "partial 16S ribosomal RNA". It matches the Rfam family "Bacterial small subunit ribosomal RNA", at positions 338 to 795 of the family's 1533-position model. The record is from RNAcentral.